This 372-nucleotide ribosomal RNA is filed under the name uncultured organism. RNAcentral's name for it is "bacterial SSU rRNA". It matches the Rfam family "Bacterial small subunit ribosomal RNA", at positions 526 to 896 of the family's 1533-position model. The record is from RNAcentral.
CGGGGGGGGCAAGCGUUGUUCGGAAUUACUGGGCGUAAAGGGUGCGUAGGCGGCUUUCUAAGUUGGAUGUGAAAACUCUGGGCUCAACCCAGAGCCUGCAUCCAAAACUGGAGAGCUUGGGUUCUGGAGGGGAAAGCGGAAUUCCUGGUGUAGCGGUGAAAUGCGUAGAUAUCAGGAGGAACACCGGUGGCGAAGGCGGCUUUCUGGACAGAUACCGACGCUGAGGCACGAAAGCUAGGGGAGCAAACAGGAUUAGAUACCCUGGUAGUCCUAGCCCUAAACGAUGGAUACUUGCUGUGGGGGGGAUUGAAACCCUUUGUGGCGAAGCUAACGCAUUAAGUAUCCCGCCUGGGGAGUACGGUCGCAAGGCUG